CCUACGGGGUGCAGCAGUGGGGAAUAUUGCACAAUGGGGGAAACCCUGAUGCAGCGACGCCGCGUGAGUGAAGAAGUAUCUCGGUACGUAAAGCUCUAUCAGCAGGGAAGAAAAUGACGGUACCUGACUAAGAAGCCCCGGCUAACUACGUGCCAGCAGCCGCGGUAAUACGUAGGGGGCAAGCGUUAUCCGGAUUGACUGGGUGUAAAGGGAGCGUAGACGGCAGCACAAGUCUGGAGUGCACUCCCGGGGCUUAACCCCGGAACUGCUUUGGAAACUGUGCGGCUGGAGUGCAGGAGGGGUAAGCGGAAUUCCUAGUGUAGCGGUGAAAUGCGUAGAUAUUAGGAGGAACCCCGGUGGCGACGGCGGCUUACUGGACUGUAACUGACGUUGAGGCUCGACAGCGUGGGGAGCACACAGGAUUAGAUACCCGGGUAGUC
This 440-nucleotide ribosomal RNA is filed under the name uncultured bacterium. RNAcentral's name for it is "partial 16S ribosomal RNA". It matches the Rfam family "Bacterial small subunit ribosomal RNA", at positions 338 to 795 of the family's 1533-position model. The record is from RNAcentral.